RNAcentral lists this ribosomal RNA (584 nucleotides) under uncultured bacterium. RNAcentral's name for it is "partial 16S ribosomal RNA". It matches the Rfam family "Bacterial small subunit ribosomal RNA", at positions 355 to 937 of the family's 1533-position model. The record is from RNAcentral.
UGGGGAAUUUUGGACAAUGGGCGAAAGCCUGAUCCAGCAAUGCCGCGUGUGUGAAGAAGGCCUUCGGGUUGUAAAGCACUUUUGUCCGGAAAGAAAUCCUUGGCUCUAAUACAGUCGGGGGAUGACGGUACCGGAAGAAUAAGCACCGGCUAACUACGUGCCAGCAGCCGCGGUAAUACGUAGGGUGCAAGCGUUAAUCGGAAUUACUGGGCGUAAAGCGUGCGCAGGCGGUUUGCUAAGACCGAUGUGAAAUCCCCGGGCUCAACCUGGGAACUGCAUUGGUGACUGGCAGGCUAGAGUAUGGCAGAGGGGGGUAGAAUUCCGCGUGUAGCAGUGAAAUGCGUAGAGAUGUGGAGGAAUACCGAUGGCGAAGGCAGCCCCCUGGGCCAAUACUGACGCUCAUGCACGAAAGCGUGGGGAGCAAACAGGAUUAGAUACCCUGGUAGUCCACGCCCUAAACGAUGUCAAUUAGUUGUUGGGGAUUCAUUUCCUUAGUAACGUAGCUAACGCGUGAAGUUGACCGCCUGGGGAGUACGGUCGCAAGAUUAAAACUUAAAUGAAUUGACGGGGUCAUAGCUGUUUCC